AACGGAGGCAAUUAAAAAGUCAUUGAUACGUCACGUGGUUGAGUGAAAGAGGAAGAACUAUUGUAAUUUUUAAAAAAUUACCAGAACAGCAGGGGGGAUUCCAAACAUGACUCGGCUACAAACGAACCGAAACCACGCAGAACUGGUGGAUUCAGCCGGACUGGAAGAGCAGGCGGACACCGCACAGCCUCGGGGGCGCGAGAACGCGGACCUCUAAGAAUUUCCACCUGCGAACAGGUGAGCUGCGUUUCGAGACGCAAGUCCGUCCCCUGUCACUUCACUUCCGCUUUACCUGUCCUGGAAGCCGCCUCCUCCUUUUCCGUCCCGCCUCCCUCGGGUCCUGAUUGGCUGCCACCCCACAAAUGUACCCAAAUUUGCACAGUUCUCUGCUGGACACAGUUCUGUACACAUUUUCUAAAUAGGCACAGCACUAAACUGGAAUGCAAGUGGGACAUUUCAAUGCACCUUCAAUACAAUCCACCCAUUUUCAUGUACCACCACCAGUUUAACAUGGCGUUCUUAGUCUUGUGGUUGUCAUAUGAGAAUAUUUGUCCAGUGUCUCACAUUGUUCUGUCUCGUGUUUUUGUGCUGUAGGUGAUGUAAUGUUAUCUUAAUGCUGCAAAAGUAUUGUAUUGUAUUAUAAUUAAAUUGAGUAUGAUGAUUAUGAGUGUUUUUGUUUUUCCUCUGUUUAUAUGCUACAAACAGCGUUGUGAAGUAUCCAACAAGAGUGACUGAAGCUGGAAUUAUUUCUGACCUGUCUUUGACAAAGUCCCCCCAUUAACAUUUCUGGUUGCCGGGAUGUUCUGAUUAUGUUCGCGUUUCGUUCCCCCAAAAUACAAAAAAACUUCCAAUAUUGCGUCCUGUGAACUAUCAGCUCUCAACUAUCAGGUCACGUCAUGUGAAAAAAACAGAGGAAUACACCGAUUGAACAACGGUGAUGUCAUGCAGCAUAAUGUGAUCAAAUCAUAAUUAUAAAUAUAAAUAAAUGUAAUUUAUUUCUGAGAAACCUCGCAGUGAGGCUCAGAGGUCAGGUGUUUGG
RNAcentral lists this long non-coding RNA (1039 nucleotides) under Takifugu rubripes (torafugu). RNAcentral's name for it is "lncRNA (ENSTRUG00000032855.1)". Lineage: Eukaryota; Metazoa; Chordata; Actinopteri; Tetraodontiformes; Tetraodontidae. The record is from RNAcentral.